Molecule: ribosomal RNA, 755 nt
Filed under: Faucicola atlantae
Lineage: Bacteria; Pseudomonadati; Pseudomonadota; Gammaproteobacteria; Moraxellales; Moraxellaceae
Description: bacterial SSU rRNA
Rfam family: Bacterial small subunit ribosomal RNA
Source: RNAcentral
GGCAGGCUUAACACAUGCAAGUCGAACGAUGGAACCUAGCUUGCUAGGGGAAAUAGUGGCGAACGGGUGAGUAACAUUUAGGAAACUGCCUUAUAGAGGGGGAUAGCUCGGGGAAACUCGAAUUAAUACCGCAUACGUCCUACGGGAGAAAGGAGSYKWRAGSUUYUGCUAUAAGAUGUGCCUAAAUUAGAUUAGCUAGAUGGUGAGGUAAAGGCUCACCAUGGCGACGAUCUAUAACUGGUCUUAGAGGAUGAUCAGUCACACCGGAACUGAGACACGGUCCGGACUCCUACGGGAGGCAGCAGUGGGGAAUAUUGGACAAUGGGGGCAACCCUGAUCCAGCCAUGCCGCGUGUGUGAAGAAGGUCAUAAGAUUGUAAAGCACUUUAAGCAGGGAGGAAGAGCUAGUCAAGAAACGGGCUAGUAGUGACGUUACCUGCAGAAUAAGCACCGGCUAACUCUGUGCCAGCAGCCGCGGUAAUACAGAGGGUGCGAGCGUUAAUCGGAAUUACUGGGCGUAAAGCGGGUGCAGGUGGUGCACUAAGUCAUAUGUGAAAGCCCUGGGCUUAACCUAGGAACAGCAUAUGAUACUGGUGAACUAGAGUAUAUGAGAGGGAAGUAGAAUUCCAGGUGUAGCGGUGAAAUGCGUAGAGAUCUGGAGGAAUACCGAUGGCGAAGGCAGCUUUCUGGCACAAUACUGACACUCAGACCCGAAAGCGUGGGUAGCAAACAGGAUUAGAUACCCUGGUAGUCCAC